UACGUAGGGGGCGAGCGUUGUCCGGAAUUACUGGGCGUAAAGGGUGCGCAGGCGGUUUUUUAAGUCAGGUGUGAAAUACCCGGGCUCAACCCGGGGGGUGCAUUUGAAACUGGAAGACUUGAGUGCAGGAGAGGGGAGCGGAAUUCCUAGUGUAGCGGUGAAAUGCGUAGAUAUUAGGAGGAACACCAGUGGCGAAGGCGGCUCUCUGGACUGCAACUGACGCUGAGGCACGAAAGCGUGGGGAGCAAACAGG
Molecule: ribosomal RNA, 253 nt
Filed under: uncultured bacterium
Lineage: Bacteria
Description: partial 16S ribosomal RNA
Rfam family: Bacterial small subunit ribosomal RNA
Source: RNAcentral